This 249-nucleotide ribosomal RNA is filed under the name uncultured bacterium. Its description in RNAcentral is "partial 16S ribosomal RNA". It matches the Rfam family "Bacterial small subunit ribosomal RNA", at positions 57 to 305 of the family's 1533-position model. The record is from RNAcentral.
GCAAGUCGAGGGGCAGCAUUUACUUCGGUAAGAUGGCGACCGGCGCACGGGUGCGUAACGCGUAUGCAACUUACCCACUACUGGGAGAUAGCCCGGGGAAACCCGGAUUAAUACCCCAUGGUAUCCUUUGAUGGCAUCUGAAGAGGAUUAAAGAUUUAUUGGUAGUGGAUGGGCAUGCGUCUGAUUAGUUAGAUGGUGAGGUAACGGCUCACCAUGACGAUGAUCAGUAGGGGUUCUGAGAGGAUGAUC